UUUUUUUUUCUUUCACGGGUGUCGAAUAAGCAUCGAGCUCACUCGGGGUAUGUUGAUAUUUGAGAGUUGGGCCCCAAGGGGGAGUUUAUAGCAAACAGAUUGUUGAAUGUUUGGAGACAUCCGAUAAAAGAGCUGAUUGUUGUACGUUUCAUGGUAAUGUAAGGAGCCUCUCCAGAAGGCCAAUUUUGCCUAAAGAAAUUCGAAAUUCAUGGCGUCCUUGUACAUCUGAUUAGACUGGGUUAUCGCCUGACUGUGCACCAAGGUUUUGCUGUGUUCUAAGUUCUAACCGACCUUGUUUGGUUCGGCAUAGCUUGUUCCCCAGCAGCCUUUUCGGAGGCUAAGCGGAAGCAAUGGCCAGACGGCCGUUACACACUCGAAUCUGUAACUGGUUGCAAUCUGUCGUGAAUCUGUAACUGGUUUGCCUAUCGCCAGUGCCUGCUCGUGCUCGGUGCUCACUGUUGGCGCUUGAACUGGGAGACGUGACUCGAACGGCGAUGGAACCGAUCGAUCAGCGAGGUCCGGGACCCAGAGAUGCCACUGUCCUCUGCCGCUCGUGCCCCAUUUCACCAGCCCAGAACUGCUGCUGCCGCUGUACCUGCACUGUGCAUCGACGGCAGUGGAGACGGGAGCGUGAGCGUUGUUGCGACGAGUCACCUCCUGAGGAAAGACGAAGAGAAAACACGGCGAGGCGUUUCGUCAGCUGUCUCCAGCGACCAUGAUGUGAUGCGAGUUGAGUUUGGACUGUGCGUUUGGGCCGGGAGAACCAGCCAAAUGUCCCCCCUCCUCCGCUGCCUGAUCUUGGGCUCGGAAAGCUAUAAAGUAGCGGGUUGCUGGGCGGGAACGUCUGUGUGUCGGGGGCCGGCCGCCACUGUUUGUUGUGAUUUUUGUGUCCCCGUCGUGCCAUCAAAUCCAACUGUGAAGCUUUGAACAACGGUCUAGAAGCCUAUUAACGGUCUAGAGCCUACUAACCGUCUCUCUUUGUUCCCAACUGGGGUCACUUCACUGUCACAUGCUAGCCUAGAAGCCUAUAAUAAGGCUAUAUAUAGCAUCAGUACGUUCGUAUGUAGCCACGCUCGUGGCGGAAAGGGUUGCAGCAGUGCCGCCAAAACAGAAGUGAUUUUGACCGGUUUCUUCGGGUUUCCGUAUGGUGCCAAACUGCCAAUGGCAAACCCUGUGCCGGCCGGCGGGAUCCGAGCCGUGGCGCAAUUCUGCCCGGUCCGCAUCUUUCCAAGGUUUUUAGUUAGCUGAUCAACGAAUUGGUUUACACACACUGACAAAGUUGGCCUAAUUUUGUUAGUUUUCGUUCACUAGCGACAGCGCGGCAUGUGUUUUGCAAGAUUCCUAAGUUUUGUUGGGUCGUGACAUCGAUAUCUGAGCUGGUAAAGGCAUAUUGAGUGGAGUGGUACGUAUUUCAAUUCAACCGGUCAAGUUUAACGGUCUUAAGUUGGGUAGUUACCAUAUUGACGUCUCAAUCUAACUAGAUAAGUCGAGCUAUUUUUUUCCUUUCUCUUCUUUUCGUGCCUGUAGCCUCGCAGGGUUGUAGUCUUAUAUUUUUUCUGUUAUAUUAAUAGAAACUUGCACUAUCUUAUAUGGUUCGUUCAAAAGAUAUGAGCUUGUAAAUAAACCUCCUAGAAGCACACUAGUGUGUCGAGUUCUGUAGUGUUUUUAAUUUUUGGACCAAACGGCUUUGCAUUCUAAAUGCUGCACGGGUGACUUGGUGGGGAGUACUUGAGGUCAUUUCUUGGAUUCAUUGUCUGUCCUGCACUACGAGUGGGUGUUGACCGUUAUUGGUGAUGCUUGUUAUGCUUUAAACGUGGUGGUCAAAUCUUAAUAUUUGCUAAUCCAUGCCAUGUUUCUAGAACCCGUACUUUAUGAUAAAACAGUGAAAACUAUUUAAUGUGGGAACUACUACUUGAGGUCUUAUUCGGUUAAUGAGUUAAUCCUUUCCGUAAAAGAAUUGAGGGGGAUUUUAACUUGCAGGGAUUUAAUCCCUCCCAACCCCAUCUAAUACUUUUCAAUCCCCUUCAUAUUGAAAAAGCUUUGAGCGUGUUUUAGAACAACAAUGAUGCUCACCUUUUCACGAGAGAACUAUUAUAUUUGAAUACAUACGUGUGAUUAUGUCGAGUAAAGACCAUCUACAACAAAAAGGGCUGAGGAAGUAUGCAUGCAUAUUUUCCACUGACUGAGUUAGCCUUUGUUCUUAAGCCCAGAUACUAACCUAUAGGUAGCUACCAAAUGGAAUCUAGCUACAGUAAGAAAGAACUUUUUGAAACUGCUCGACCAACUAUUUUCACUAUUUUUUUAUAUCCGAGCGAAACAGGACGGUAAAAAGUAAAUCUGUUAUUAUUAAUGGGGGUGCAGCGUUUCGUUGGGCUAUUUGAAAUACAAAGGAACAAAGUGAUUUUUGAUAAAUGAUAAAUGCCAAUCUAAAACUUUUUACAGGUACUUGCUCAGUUUUUGUGCCAAGUUGCAGCCAAGUGAGGGUCCUAAUCAUGACAUUUUUGGCUCUUUGGAGCAGCGGCUGACAGGAAACAACAUUUCGAUUUCCCGUGGCUCCACCUCCACACUACUGCAAGUUUGCAACAGUAAUAUGAUUGUGCAGAUGCAGCUUUCAGCUGCGCCCGGGAACCAAGCCUUGUUUUGGAAACCCCUUGUUUUCUGCGCGCCCAUGGCCGAUCAUAGCCCGCCUUCUUUAUAGCCGGCCGGCUCGCCUCGACGACGCCAUGCCGAGAAGCCGAGCCACACACAAAUAGCUAAGCAGAGCAGACUGCAUUGCUCUGUGAAGGGUAGAGGCUAGAGACAGGCAUGGCGGCGCUGCUCGAAGCUGUGGUGUUCCCGCCAGAUCACCCCCGCGUCCCGUGCUGCAGGUCGUGCGGCUCGAGCUGCGUCCUCGGUGGCUAUGGCGUCGCCUCGGCCGGAGAGUUCGAGGGAAUCAUCGAGAAGGGCGUGGUGGUGGUGCAGGAAAACGGAGAGCUCCUGGUGCCGCCGACGGCGCAUGGCAGCGCCUGCUGUGCCUGGGCCGGCGGCGCGGCGACCAGCAGCUGGGCCGGCCCCGUGCCGUCGACGACGCUGGCGACGUCGUCCGCGCGGUGGCCAGCGCAUCAUCAUCAGCCCGCGGUCACCAGGAAGCCGCGGCGGCGGAGAGGGACGGCGGCGAGGAGGAGCGCGUCGGAGGCCGAGAGCCUGAGGCGGAACCACAUCGCUGUGGAGCGCAGCCGGCGGCGGCAGGUGAACGAGUACCUCGCCGCGCUGCGCGCCCUCAUGCCGACCUCCUACGCACGACGGGUACGUGGAGCCGCGCCGCGCCGCGCCUCAGGCUCUUCAUCGCCCGAGACACGCGCGCCCGCUUCUCGUGACUUUCCACUUGGCACACGUCAAAUCAUUAUCGUCACUGUGGAAGACACUGUUCGUCCAUACGAGGAUGUGCUAGCUAGCUGCUGUCACGAUCACAAAAAGGAAGGGGAAAAAAAGGGGCAAUAGCUGAUCAGCAUUUCUUGCGUUCGUGGCAGGGUGACCAGGCGUCCAUAGUCGGAGGCGCCAUCGACUUCGUCAAGGAGCUGGAGCACCACCUGCAAUCGCUGCAGGCUCAGAGACACCCCGCCGCCGCCGCCGCCGGCCACGGCUCCGAGCGUUUCCCCGGAUUCUUCACGCUCCCCCAGUACUCCACCGCCGAGGCGGCCAACGACGUCGACGACGGCGCCAGCAGCAGCGGCGGCGAGAGGCGCCCCGCGACGCGGACGGGCGUGGCGGACGUCGAGGUGGCCGUGUCGGAUGGCGGCCACACGACGGUGAAGGUGCUGGCCCCGCGGCGGCGGCGGCGGAUGCUGCUCGGGCUGCUUCUUGGGAUGCAGCGCCGCGGCCUCACCGCGCUCCACCUCAACGCCACCACCACGGCCGACCAGAUGGCCUUGUACACUUUCAGUCUAAAGGUGCGAGUGUUAACUAUUAACAUGGUCUCAUUAGCAUUAUGACGACAUGGGCUUCUUGAUAAUAAUAAUUGCCAUCGAUCAUUGUGCUGUACAGAUGGGGGACGAGUGGCAGCUCUCGUCGGCCGGCGACGUCGCGGCCGCCGUGCACGACAUCGUCGCCGGCAUGGACACCGCAGAAGAACGUGCUGUUUAGCUUUAGCCUGAAAAUGACGGGAUUCUUGGUGUUGUUAGUCUUCGAUCGUUCUUUCGGUUCACGAAUCAUAUCACGGCUGUGCACGCACCUAUUCCCACUUCCCGUACACAACAAACCCUGUGUGGGGACUGGUGACCCCGAUGUUUGAUUUUGUGAUAUCUUAGGGUUUCAGCUAACCUACUCAUGUUGAACAAAUCUUUUCACGCCAUGUUUUGAACGCGUUUAAUCUCAUCGUAAGAUACUAUGCUGAUCUGGAGAUGCUGCGUGGAAAUCGUAAAAUCUAGUCCAGUCUAUCGCCCUGUUUAUCCGAUGUAACGAACGGUGCUUUUCUGCCUUAAUUCCAAAUAAGCUGUCCUAGAAUACAUGUUUAGCGCCUUGCUAAAAUUAGUCGGAAACGUACUAACGAGUAACGACCACUACUUCUAAUUUAUUAGCCCAUCUGUCACAUUUGUCUUGACUCAAAAGGACUUCACAGUGGGGCUCACAAAGCCUGAGCCCGGUAGCCCACUGUAUUUGGGCCCACAAAGCAACGGGAUUCUGAAUUUUGGCCCAGUAUUUGGAAGGACUUCCUCGGCAAGAAAAUUCCUGACGAUCACUGAAUCCGAACAAGACUAGGCUGCAGCUAGCACAUGCUACUUUGACAAAGGAAAGCAGCCUAGCAACAAACACAACUGCUCUAGUACGAGUACCAAACCUAGAGCAAACCCUACUACUCGUCUCAUUCAUGUUUGGUGAGUGACCAACCGGAUCAAAGAUCGACAUCUAUCGCUAGGUACGUACCUUAGCUUCUUCAACGUUUGAUCCUCUAAUCCUCUCGGAUAAGAACCCCACCCGCAAGCACCGAAAUUAAUGUUUCAUCUCAUCGCCUUCAGAUCACGGCCCAAUCGAUCGAGAUCUCUCGCACGUAGCAGCUUACCUGCAAACUUUCAUGUCACAUCGUGUGCUUUACUGCAAGCCUGCUGCAAGGUCUCAAGUACACGAAGUUCGUGUUGGAUCAGCCGGUGAGAUCGAUGCGCCUCAAAGACUUUGCAACCUCUCAUCACAUUCUCCGGGAGCUGUCAUUGUCCACAUAGUAGGUGCCUCUGCAUGCCGUUAACCCAAGCAAAUGUGAAGAGCUAGUGUAGAUCACAGAUCAUCUUUGAUCCCAGCCUACAAGGAUUGGACUGUACUCCUAGUAGUAAUUGUCUAAUUCUAAUUUCUAUAAAGAAACAUCUGGCCUCAAAUGACCUUGGAGGUUGGAGCUAAGACACUGUUAGCCUCCAUUGCAAGCCUUUCAUGGCCAACCACAGCACAUAGAUGGCCAGUCUGGUGUGGUGACAGUGCCAAGCCACCAGCAGUUACAUGCUUACAUUAAUGUCCUCAUCUUUCUCCCCCGUCGUUGCAAGAACAACGCCUGACGCGUGUUCGCCAUGAGAAAGAUGUCGCAACUGAAAAAAGGCGGCAGAAAGCUUUGCCAACGACCAUGGAGGAUUCCUUUUCCGUAAAGGUCCUCGACAGGUAAACUGGUCACGGGUAGAGUCGUUUCUAAGCCAUUUCGUAAGAUCGUCAGGGCUUCCUACUUCUUCAAUUCCUACUCCCAACUAACGCCAACGAAAGCCAGUCCACCAACUCCCAGCUGCUGCGACGUACCGUCAGUCUGUCGCUCGCACAGUGGCAUGGGUAUAAAGGGCCCGUGCUUUGCAGUCGGCUCUGCAUCUCGAUCGCUUCGGAUCUGCUGCAUUGAUCUCCUAGCUUGUUCGUUUUCCGCUUUGCUCGCUCGGUCGAUCGAUCACAGGUCUCAGCUACGGCAAUGGCUUCCGGUGGCGCGUCACUGGCCUUGGCGGCGCUGCUCCUUGUGAGCUGCGCAUCGGCGGCGGCGGCGACCAAGUACACCGUCGGCGACACCACCGGCUGGACGACCAGCGGCGAUUACGCCACCUGGGCCAGCGACAAGAAGUUCAAAAUCGGCGACAGUCUCGGUUAGCGACAUAUAAAACUGCUUGCUUUUCGGGCAUCAUCUUUAUAAUUUAUGUUCUCGCUAUCUAAUCUCUGUGCAGUUUAUGAUCGUUAUCCCAGUAAAACCAUGUUGUUAUGCUUAAAAAUGCUUCAGUAAUACAAAAACUUUUGUUUAGUGCAAUGCCGCAUUCCUACGAAAUAAAUGUGCGGCCAAGACACAUUGUAACUUUCGUUUCUUUUCAGUGUUCAACUACGCCGGCGGCGCGCACACGGUGGACGAGGUGAGCGCGGCGGACUACGCCGCCUGCUCCUCCAGCAAGGCGCUCAGCAGCGACAGCGCCGGCACCACCACCGUGACCCUCAAGACCGCCGGCAAGCACUACUUCAUCUGCGGGGUCGCGGGCCACUGCAGCAGCGGCAUGAAGCUCGUCGUGGACGUCGCCGCGGCCAAGGCGGCCACCCCUUCGCCGGCGCCGGCGCCGGCCGUGGCUCCGGCACCGGACGCCGCGGACACCACCCCGGACGCCACCCCCGCCACGACUCCCAAGGGCUCCGGCGGCGCCACGCCCAAGACCCCGGUCACGGUCCUCUCGCCGCCGGGCAAGAAGUCCACAUCCGGCGCAACCGGGCUCAGCGCCACGGCAUGGGCUAGCUUGGGCCUGGCCGGGCUCGUGGCCGUGCACCUCGGCGCGUUCUAGGGCCGCCGGCCAGGGUGGAGGCAGUGCUGUUUUAUUCUCGUUUUGUUCGUGAUAGGAUGCACGUCAUGGAUUCAUGUAUUGGUUGAGGAUCUGACUAUCUUAGAGGUUUCUUUUGAUCCCAGGCAACUCAGUGCUUUUGCUGCGCUGCGCUGGUGGCAAUUAGUUGGAUACUUGGAUAUUAUGCUAUUGUUAUCAUAUUCUUUAAUUUUCAUGCUCUUUCAGUCUUUCUAUCGUAUUUCCAUUUAUAUUAUUUUCCAAAAAAAAUAGUACUCCCUCCGUCCCAAAUUAUAGACUGUUUUACUUUUUUAAUUCACUGAUAUUACUAUGUACCUAAAUAUUCAAAGAUGACAUCAACUCUUGGAUGAUGGCGGCAGCCAAGUUUAUCUCCACCUUAGUUGGCCGAACUUAAUCUCGGCCGCAACUCGAGUCUGUUUAUAACUAUAGUUAGAGUGUAAACAGCUCCGGGAACUCCUUUUUAAUACAAUUAGUAAGUGGCCCGCGUAAAUAGUGUGGCUCCAUUUGUUAUUUUAUAUUUUUAAAAUUAUUUAUUAAAUAUAUCUUAAAUUUAUAAUGGAGCAAUACAUAAUUUCUAGAUUCUCUUACAAAUUUGUAAUAGUUAUAUAUGGUUUUUUCCAUGUUUAUGCUUGUACGUCCUCCCUACUACUAAAUUAUUAUUAAUAUCUCUCAACAUUGGAAUAAAACGCAAACUACAGAAUAUGGAGUUUAUAUAUUACUUUUUUCGGUCGUCAUAUUUUUACAUGAAUUUUCAGUCAUUUUUUAGGUCCUUCUCUUACCAAUAUAUAUCAAUAUAUACUACACAUUGAUUAGUUUACUUUUCUUACUAAUAAUUUUUGUAUUUAUUUAUAUGUAUUUGAUAUAGUUUAGUUACUUAAUUUUGAAGCCAUAUGAUAACUAAAUUGUUAAAUUAUUUAAUUUUCAUUGUUUUGUUAGAGUUUCCCUAGAUAUUCAGUUAUACUUGCUUUUGUAGCUUUUAAAUUCAUUUAGUAUUCAUAAAAUUUUAUAAAAAUCUUUAAUUAAUUUUUUUAGAAAAUUAUAGGAAAUUUUUGGAUUUUGUGACCGGCACUCCACUAGGGGUUACCUAGGUGGUAGAUUUGCAGGUGAGGGAGAUCGUAAGACCAUGAACUCAAAUGGUAAUAUAGGUACGUAAAGGUUACCCAGGUGGUAGAUUUGCAGGUGAGGGAGAUCGUAAGACCAUGAACUCAAAUGGUAAUAUAGGUACGUAAGGUUUAUACAGGUUCGGGCCUCCGGAGAGUAAUAUCCUAAGUCCUAUGUUCUGGUGGAUUGUAUUGCUGAUCGCAGGUACGAAGAGUUAACAUGUGUGUUGGGUUGAGGUGCGUUACCCUCGGGGGAUUCGGGGAUAGAUCCCCAGUACUCGCAAGAAAGGAAGAAGACAGACUCCUACUACGAUUCCACCGUAAUCCUACUAUGACUCAUAACAUGUAAUCCUACUAGGACUCCUCCUUGUAACCGACUAGUUAUCCUGUUUCCUGGAGUAUAUAGAGGAGGGCAAAGGUACCUAGGUCGGCAGAACCAUCAUCAAUAGCCAACAAUCAGGCUAUGCAACACCCAAGCGCAGUGUGCAAUAUACAACUCCCCAAACAUGACGUAGAGUAUUACGCUACUCUGGCGGCCUGAACCUGUAUAAAUCCGUGUCUUGUGUCCUCGCUUUUACCUUCGAGUUCCAGGUCCGACGAUUCCCCACCAACCAAUCUACUACCCCGGGUACUCCCAUGGUAGGUUGACGGGUAUAAAAUACUGACAUUUGGCGUGCCAGGUUGGGGUGAUCGUCGAGAUCAUCAGGCGAGCUUGAAAGACCUCAUCUUCAAAAUCAAUUUACUCAACGAGAAGAAAGUUGCCGAGUUCCAAUUCGAAGCAGAGUCGAGAAGCUUGGGAAAACAAUUGGAUCACGAGCGAUUCCAUCCGCAGAAAGCCGCAAGUCCCUACCCAAGUUGAAUCCGACAAGGCAACACCAAGGAUCGCAUCGAUCAAGAUUACAGCUCGCGCGGCAACACCUACAAUUAGCAAGCCGACGCGCCAGCGACAACCUUGACUACUAUCGGGGGCUACUCCUCUGUUUUCACACAAUUCAUGGUGGAUUUAGUACUCGGCGACACGCAUCUCCUGCCGCGUCAAGCAGGGAUCAAGUAGGAAUUGGGUUCGGUAAUCAAGUUCGAAACCAAAGCAAGGCAUCUCCGAGUCCGAAGCGAAGUUGCCCUACUACACCCUGCAGACCAAUCAGCAGACUGCCAGGCUAUCGUAGUGUGGUUGCUGUUCCCAAGGCAAAAAGAAGAUCGCAAAGCUGGUUCCUUCCGAUCAAAGCUAGAACUCAAGUCUGAAAGCAGAGCAUCGUCAGGACCGAGAAAACAUGCUGCCGUGGUGCGUGAAGAAGAUAAAAAUUCAGCCUGAAGUUGCUAUGCACACACAAAAGAGUACAAGAAGACUUCAAGUGCUUCGUGGCAACAUCGACAUCCGGCCGCAUACUACCUCGUCAACGACUACUUCAACUUCGCGAGGGCGCUCGGCGACCCACCAACGACUACCUCGACUACUAAUCUCGACUAGAAACUAGUUGGGACAGGCCUUGCACCAUCAAUAACUAGUUGGAAUCGACUCCGACUAGCUGGCUUGACCAACAACCAUCAUGCCAGCAACAAUCUCGACUACUUCGAUGGGCGACUCACCGAUGACUACUUUGACUACGCCGUGACGCUCGCCAGUGACUACUCAUCUCGACUAGAAAAUUAGUCGGGAGGGGCCUCACACCGUCGACAACUAGUCGGAAUCGACUCUGAUUAGUCGUCUUCAUCAACAAUCGUCACGGCUUCAUCGACAACCGCCAUGACCUAAUUGACAAUUGUCCACGAAUCAAGCUAACUCACUUUCCUAAUUAUUUUCCGGCUGGUCUUCUGCAUGCGGGGCAACACACCGACUACUUAAUUGUGUACGCCUCUCAACGGGAAUUACCCUACAGAGCUGCACUUUGCCAACUACUUGCCGGAGGGUAGCAAACUCAUGCGCACAAUACGCGCUCUACUCGUUGGAGGGCAGAAACUCUUGAGCACAAUCGCGCUCUCUUUUUUGUCACAACGACGACUACUCAUUUUUGUCUUCUCUUAAGGUCACUAAUCUCCUUGAGCAGAACACGCCUUAAUUCGUGAAAGCCUUAGAAGCAUCUGCCAUGUAUACAUGAGACAAAGAUCUCAGCUGUGCAAAUGGCAGUGCCCGUAAACGUACAAGAGAUAAAGAUCUGGCCACGCAGUGGCUGCGGCUAACAGAGACUGAGAGCCUAAACGUAACAGGCUAACUACUCGGGAGAAAUAUGGCUAAAAUAAGAGCAUGACACAAAAUGUUUAUAUUGAUCACUGAAUAAAUUUUAGUAGUUUUAAUAUUCCACAAAUAUGCUACAUAAUGUAUGCAUCUCUUCUUUCAGGUCAAGCUUCGACGACGACGCUCCAGGAUGCUAAGCGUACCUCCAAAGGCACCGCUAGCUUCCAUGCUCGGGGGCUAAGUGCCAAUUACUACUCGGAAUAUCUCCAAUGGCUCAGCUAGCUUCCAAGCUCGGGGGCUAAGCACCAAUAAAUACUCGACGUGGCUUCUCCGGCUCACCUAGCGCAUAAGCUCGGGGCCUGGACGCCACAAAACUACUCGGAUGAUGACUUGCGUGAAAAUUCAAGAUCAUUGAGUUGAUUAUUCAAUCAAUCCAAGGAUCGGGAGCUGAUAAGCUAUACCCAACAAUUGAUUUUUUUCAAGUUGAAAGAAGAAGAUUUCAAGAUUUUGAUUGACCCUCAGCCUGGUUCUACGAUUCAACCUAAGGCUCGGAGGCUACUCCAUAUGGAGUGCGACUUUCGCCACCCUCCAUAUAUGAAGAUUAAAGAAUCAAGAUGAUCAAGGCUUUGCGCACACCAUAGCCUCAUGACAGAUUUGAGAAACAUUGAAGAUUCAGCCAGAUGAAGUACUCAAAGAGCACCAAAACUACUCGGCGAGGAUCUUAAAACUACUCAAAGACUGCUGCAUUCGACUAUGAAGCGCUCGAGGGCUUGUCGGGGAUAGAUCCCCAGUAAUCGCAAGAAAGGAAGAAGACAGACUCCUACUAGGAUUCCACCGUAAUGCUACUAGGACUCAGAACAUGUAAUCCUACUAGUACUCCUCCUUGUAACCGACUAGUUAUCCCACUCCCUGGAGUAUAUAGAGGAGGGCAAGGGUACCUAGAUCGGCAGAACCAUUAUCAAUAGGCAAUAAUCAGGCUACGCAACAUCCAAGCGCAGGGCGCAAUAUACAACUCCCUAAAUAGGGCAUAGGGUAUUACGCUACUCUGGCGGCCUGAACCUGUAUAAAUUCGUGUCUUGUGUCAUCGCUUUUACCUUCGUGUUCCAGGUAUAACGAUUCCCCACCAACCAAUCUACUACCCCAGGUACUCCCGUGGUAGGUUGCCAGGUACAAAACACCGACAGGGGGCGCCCCUGGCCGCCUUAUAUAGGUUGAAAACCUAGGGUUAUAAUCGGAUAGGAUCUAAUCCUAGUCGGUUGUUACAUAGAAAGCAAUCUGAGUCGGUUUACAACAAGUAUCCUAUGAUAUCCGGGUAGAAUCCGUUCGCCCAGCCUCCGGACUUGUACUCCACGUAUCUUUAUGCCUUGGCCCGCACGGCAUGGUCGGGCGAGCCCACCUGUCAGGGCAGACCAGUAUUCUGGUCGGUGGGGACCCGUGGGUACCCUUAUCCCUCAAACCCUCAAGCAAUGUGGAGUUGAAUAGGAGCCUGAUGAAUACGUAAUGAAGCUUGUAAUGCACUCGGCUGAAGUUGUGGUGUCGUCAUAGUGAUGGAGAGGCUGCACGGUGCUCAAAAAAGGAAGAAAAAUUGAAGCUUCCAUAGGCGUAUGACCAAACACACAUGGCUAUGCGACUGCUGAGUUCUGGGAUGUCUGGCAUCCUGUAGAUUGAAGGGAAGCACAUAGAGGGCUUCGCCAGACGCACUCCAUAUGGAAUAGCCCCCGAGCAUUGAAGCGAUUAAAGUAAUCGGUCUAAUGGUCAAGAAUAAGAUGUAUUGUUUCCGUCGUAAAAGGGACCAAAUAUAGCGCCCAACCCCCAAGCGCGAGGACUAGCAGAGCCACAGAGGCAUGUCAACCUAAAAUAGGUGCCCAGCCUCUGAGCGUGAGGACUUGUGGAGCCAAGGAGGCACGCCGACUUGAAAUAGGCGCCCAGCCCCCAAGAGCGAGGACUAGCGGAGCUAAGGAGGCACGCUGACCUGAAUAGGCGCCCAGCCCCCGAGCGCGAGGACUGGUGGAGCCAAGGAGGCACACCGACCUGAAGUAGGCGCCCACCCUCGAGUGGGAGGACUGGCGGAGCCACGGAGGCAUGUUGUGAGACUUAACGAAAAAUCCACGGAUUCCGUUCAUCGCUUGCGUCGUACCAGGGGACCUGCGAAUUCUGUCGCUAGGUUUACACUGUCAAUGCCUUCUAAAGACGAAGAGGUGCGGUUUCCUUUCCAUGUCCACUCCACUCACCCCCAAGCGCUGCCACUACUGCCAACGCUUUAGCCUCUGCGAUAGAGAGCCCUAGGUCACGCCGCCGCGUCCGCAAGCCACGCCGCCGCGUCCGCAAGCCACACUGCCGCGUCCGCAAGGCACAUACAUCGCUCCUCCGCCCGAAGGCUGUAGUCACCACUACCACGACACCAUUACCCGCCAUAUGAGAACCAAGAGGCCUGCCUACAUCUGAUCUGCGCCGCGAGGAUUAGAAACUGAAGAAAUGGCGGCAGAGGAGGCAUGGGACCCAUCCACCUACUGGAUGAAAUCCGUGAUGACUAAGGAACGGAUCUAGGCCCUUGUCGACCGUGGCCUACUCGGACCCAAGUCCCUCGUGGAGUGGAAGGCGACCGCGAGCUAGGAGUUCCCCACCGAGAACAAGAUCGAAGCCGUUGUCUUUGCAUCGAUCUUCGAGUGGGGAUUCGGGAUCCUAACUGGAGAUUUCUUCAGCGAACUACUGGACUGAUCGAGUUAGUGCAUCUCAACCCUAACUCCAUCUUGGACAUCGCAGUUUACAUCCAUUUGUGUGAAGCAUUUCUCGAAAUCCCCCCAUUUCAAUCUAUGGAGAUAUCUGUACCAAUUGAAAGCAGUUACGAGGAAGGGGAAACCGAGGGUGAUCGGCUGCUAUGGAGUUUUGCUACAGCCAAAGAGGGUCAUCGAGUACUUUGAUCUGAUGCUCAAGGAUUCGAACAAGGGGUGUGAUGGGUCCAUAGACCCGGGGUCCCCGAUGGGCCUGCUUUCCCGCAAUGCCUGGCCCAACAAGAGGCGCAGCGAUACUGCAUGCCUGGGCCACCCCUGCAACGCAACGCAGGCUGAGACCAAGAUCCGGCCAUCGUCCGGCUCCUCCGACCAGGAGGCCUAAUCGGUGCCCCGACCAGAAGGGUCCAGUCCGGGUUGGGACCACAGUUCGACCCCGACCAAGUUCCCCCGAUCAGGGAUGUGUCGUACUGACCACACCACUCCCCGCAAAAGGUACGGCUGGGGCCGACUAGGAUAAUUUACCGGGGACGCCCACUCGGUGUGGGCCCAGGGAGCAGGUGGAAUGGAUAAGAGGAAGCACCCAGGUCAACCACCGUACGAGGAACCAUACCGCACCACGCCCUGCGCACGCCCCGCACAGUGCCGCUGCAAUCUACCCGCCACAACGGAGUGGCCUGAUGAGAUGAAUAGGGAUCAAGGAUGGAGGUCAUACUGUACUCGACGACGUGGGUCUCGACACAACUGGACGACACCCGCACUCUCUCUCUCUGGCUUGUAAGGCCGUCCCCUUGGACUAUAAAAGGGGGCGCACUCUUUCUCUCUAGGGGGAGGACUCUGACUCUCUCAAACACAUAGCGCACAUUCGAGCCUCCCGUCACUCUCUUCCACUCGGACGAGAGCACGACCGGGUCUUGGACACCCCGUUCUCAUCCCUCACUCAUUUGUACCCCCACUGCAAAUUUUGAGCACCUGGGCUUAGGAAUAUAGUCGACCGGCCGACCCCGACUGGACGUAGGGCCUGUUACCCGAAUCAGUAUACAUCCUGUGUCAUUGUGUGCUAGGCCAUAUCCGAUCUAACGCAUGGCAAAACUACGAAGUCGGCCAGAUUUUGCACCGAUAGUUGGCGCCGUCUGUGGAGAUGAUGUCGUGCGUUCGUGUUUUUGCAGGUCAUCAGAUGGCCCACCUUCCCGCUACUUUCGGCAUGACGAGAUCGAGCGACACGAUUUGCUUUGGCUCGCUGGAGUUUGUCGCGCCCAUGCUCGGUGGGAUGUGGGUUCCACUUGUCUUCGCACCAUCCCAGACCUUGCGCUUCGGAAGUCUGGACUUUGUCGCCAAUCAGCUUGGUGUACUCUGCCUCUGCGAAGAGGCGGCCACCCCGACGUCCCUGGGAGGAGGAGCUCCCUUCAUCGACAGCAAGCCGCUCGACGAUCUCAACGUUGAGGUGCUUGCGCUCCACAUCGAGUCCGUGUUGGGCUCGAACCCCAUGGUGAGUGACGUGGACAUUAUCAUGUACUCACUGAUCAACACUUUCCGCCAACUCUCCGGAGGGACCCUGCUGUCGCCGCUGUGCUCACCACAUGGCUGGUUCCCCUAUGGUCUCGUGUCCCCCACGGACGCGUACGCACAGGGGCUCUAGAGGGUCAUGACAUCACCCCCUCAACCAUGCAAGUUCAUGGGAAUGGCGGAUUACGCUCCCACCUACUUCCACGACCUCUGCGACGAGGAGAUGGAGAGCGAUGGCUCCGGCAUCGGCGACAUCAUGUCGUCCAACCAUCCUCUGUCCUGGGAGUGUGCCAUGGAGGAUGCCCCGGGACAACCACCGGAGGUGGUGGAGUCUUAGCAGACUCACACCCCAUUGGACCACCACGCAGAGGCCCUGGUUUAGGUGCAAGCGCACAGCCACGAGCUACGGAAAUGGUGGCAGGCUCAGCACCCACCCACACCGGUGCGCAACCCAGUGAGUAGCGCUCGAGGCCGCGCCCGCUAGGUCCAACGCAACAUCCUAGCUGGGGGAGACACCCCCCCCCCACACACACAAUUCACUUGGGCUGGCCAGAACAUCGCCGCCGCAGCGAUGCUUCUGCGCAGCCUCCCCGAGCAUGCCGACCCGAAGGAGCAGGCAAUCCACUAGAACCUCCGAGCACUGGUAGAGAUCACCGCCGUCAGCAGGAGGAGAGCUUCGCGUCGCGACAGCGGCACGCAGCCUCUCGCCCGAUCGGGGCGCUGGGGCCGUUCCAGGUGAAUCGCUUUAUCCGCCUAGUACAACAACCACCUCGAGCAGGGCAGGGCGCCACGGUCGCAUCGCAGCCCGACCCGACACUUGCUCCAUGGCGUUCGCGCAUUCGCGAGCGACUUGGGCCAAACCGUGAUGCUCGCAGCGUCAACAACACUUGAUGCCAGGCUUGGCACGACGCCGCCGACCACCAAACGAUGGCGAGCGCUGGCGGCGCGGGCGCAGCCGGCCUAUCGAGGAGUACGAGAAGACACACCCCAGACGUGGUGGGCAACCGAGCGACCGGUAUGGUGACCGAAGCCCUAGCCCCGACGGCCCGAGACCGUGGGUCUUUGGUCACCACAUCUAGAAAGUGCCAUUCCCACAGCGCUUCCGACCACCCACCAACAUUGCCAAGUGCACUGGGGAGACGAACCCCGGUGUAUGGCUCAAAGACUUCCGACUUGCGUGUCGAGCCAAUGGUGUGGAUGAUGAUUACUUCAUCAUCCAGUAGCUCCCCAUCUAUGUAGGGGAGUUCAUUUGGGUAUGGCUCGAAUUUCUACCGCCCAACAGCAUCCACGACUAGGCGGGCCUCAAGAAGGUCUUUGUCAGGAACUUCCAGGGGUCGUACGUCCAUCCCAGGAAUUCUUGGGACCUCAAGAGCUGCAAGAAGGAGGCCAACGAGUCCCUGCGGGAUUAACUCCGCAGGUUCUCAAGGUAGUGCAACUCCUUUCUGUGACGACCGACCCCAAAUCUCAUGAGUUAAUCUUAAUCCGAGUCCCUAAUCCCCAUCUCAGCUUUCCCGAGUUUAAGUACUCAACCUCGAGCCCCGGUUCCGACCCUUGAGAUCCGACCCCUCUCUGUUUUCUCCCAGUCCCGACCCCGCUGACCCCAACUCACCCGCCGGAUCCUUCUAAGUCUUCCCACAACACCUCCCUUCAAUCUAAGCAGUGGACCAACCGAGACUGACCGAUGGACCCACAAAAAUCUUUUCCACAGAUCUCCCGCGGCAGAUGCACUUGAGUAGCAUGCUCGCUUCAGAGUUUCCCCGCCGCGUGGCUCAACUCUUCCGACCCCUGCCGCUCCGCCCCGUCGCCGGCCGCGACCGGAUGGAUAUCCGCGCCCCCUUCCCCAAUCGCAGCGGAAGCCCUCUGCAACCCUUUCUGCAGCACCUCGCCGCCCGCGCCCAUCAUCACCCCGCCGGACCCCUGGCUGCGGAGCCCGAUGCCUCCCGCCUUAUCCGUCGCCCCUCCACAGUCGCGCCGCCCGGACUGCACUACGCGACGAUUCCUCCGUCACCAAUCCAGACCCCGGCCGCGACAGUCCCUUUCCCACCUUGUCAGAGCAGCACCCCGACAGUCUGUUGCUUCGCGCUCGCCCACGCGACCGCAGCCCGCCUGUCUUCUCACCUGUGCGCCCUCGCUUCUAGCGCUGUUUCCCCGGUCACUUCCAUUAGAUCCACCGCACGACAACGCCCGCCUCCGCCAAAUCUCAACCACCGGCAAAACCGCGCCUGCGCCGCCCCGUCUCUGGUGCCCAAUGACCGCCGGUGUUAUCCCCAAAGUCCUGCUCCGCCGCACCGCUGCUCAAUCUCCGCCCCGGCAGAGCACUCGAUCGCUUCUUUCCGGUCUUCGCGCUGCUCCAGCCUUCUCUCUCUUCCGCGCAGCUAUAAAAGGGAAUGCCAGAGCUCCGCAGUAGUUCCCUUUGCCAUCGCUGCCCUUCCGCCUUGCUCUCUAUUUCAUGCUCAAAGCGCUACAGCUUAAGUCCCUGAGGAACUCUCCUCUCCACUCCACGCCCGCCCUUCCAAUCCACCCAGCCGCUUGCUUCUCCGUGCUGCGCAAGAGCUUGCUUGUGGUCCACAAGAAGCACCGCCGCCGUCGGAGCACCACCGGACCUCGCCGCUCUCCAAGCCUUAGUCCCUCCGCCCAAGUCUGCUCCUUCCCGACCCCAAGCCUCACCUGUGAACCAAAGGUAAGCUGCCGACCCCUUUUUCCGCCUCGUCCGACCCCUUCCGUUCGUCCGACCCCUUAUCCGUCUCGUCCGACCCCUUCCGUUCGUCCGACCCCUUGUCCGCCUCAUCUGACCCUAUCCGUCCGACCGACCCCUUUUCUCCGUCUCGCCUGACCCUGUCUAUUUUGCCGACCCUUUCUCCGCCUCGCCCGAGGGCUCGGCUGUAUCCUUUUUCCUAGACCCGAGGGUAUAUGUGUAAAGAUUUAGGGACUUCUCUGCGUUAAGUCUGAGGACCCCCAGCACAUCUAUUCCUCUAGUCUAAGGGUCAGAUCAUAAGUUUCUUUCCAUCCGACCCUUUUACCUUGUUCUUCUCCAACUCAAGUGAACUUCCUCACCUUAUCCGUAGCUUUGCUACAACCUUCUGGGCUAAAAACUUGCAAGUGUUGCUGUUGAAAUAACCAUCUAAAGUGCUAACUCUUGCAUUUGCAUGUCGUGUAGCGUUGCAUCUCGCCGACGGUAUCUACGAGUUGUACCCGGCGCCAGAAGACGAAACUGCAGCAGAGCUCCCGCUUCCAGAAGCUGAAGCCGCCCCCGCAGAAGACCCCUUCCCUUCCUCCUCGCUUGAAGGCAAGCCCCGGAUGCAUGAAACCCCUAUGUUUCCCAAACUUGCGCAUGCCUUCUUCUCCAUGUUUGUGCAUUUACGUAUAGGAGUUGCUUGUAACCCUAGAUGCAUAACUUAGAUCCCUUGAUCUGAACACUAGCUGUUGGACCGAGUAGAUGCUUUGCUUAAAUAGGAAGCGGUAAAAGCCGAGUGAUUUCCUGUCACUCGUGAGUUGUAGGAGUUGGUUGUUUCCUUUCUGUUACAACUAUAAGGACGAUGGACGGGGCAGGGUUCUAGUUAACUCUUUGGUGGUCGGCUGAUCGCCCCGUCUGUCUAUGGAACUUGUUAAGGCCCGACAGUGGUGGUGUUCGUGAUCAAGUGUUUGAAAGUACUAACCUCAUACUUAUUAUGGGAUGAGGAAGCCGAGUACCGGAUUGAACCUAGACGUGAGCGGUCGCCCCAUUGUCCUUGGAACGGAGUUUCCCCUGCGGCCACACGUGGUGGCAAGUGUGGUCACAGAACGGCAGAGGCCGGAUCUGUGAAACAUUGCACCAAAGGAAAUGGGCCCGACACGGGUUAGGGGAUUGAUGGGGAAUGCCGACACAGGAAGCGACCCUCGAUGGUGCGCGGAUGUCGUGAGGUUAGGUUCACCAUGCAUGGUUAAAGAACUCGAAUCAAUUCGUCUACCUCUCACAGUCUGAGACUGCUUGAUCGCUAUGCUACCCUGAGUAAGAAAGAAAUAUGAUGAUGACGUGGUCUGGAUGAUAUAUAUAUAUAUAUAUAUAUAUAUAUAUAUAUAUAUACCUUUUGGUUGGUUCUAUGUUUGCUUAGAGUAAGUUGCUAACUUAGACCGGAUAAUGAACUUAGAACCUGAGCUAAAACUUGAAAAUAGGUACCUACGUAGUGCUUUUGGCAAACAAACCCCUCAGCCAAAGAGCCUUGCAUGUCCAGAAAAGGUGGAGUAGCUUUACUCCUGUCGGUUAAGUCUUGUUGAGCUUAGUAGCUCAGCCUUGUUGUGGCCUUUCUUUUUCAGGUGAAGUUGUUGCUUCCGAGCCUUCUUCUGUUGGUACUUGGCCGCCCCAGCUCCCUCCGGGUUGGACGGUCGAGUGGGAUCCCUCCUCGGACGGUGAGGAGAGGGAUCACUGACGUCUUGGCUGGCCUCACCAGUGAUGUCCGACCCUGGCGAAGUAGCUUCCGCUCAUUUUUGCCUUCUGUUGUUUUCCUUUGAACCUUGUAAAACUCUGAUGUUUGUUUUAUGGCCGAACUAAAUAGUUAAGUGGGUUAAAUUAGUGGACUUGUUGUAUUCUCUGGAACCACUCACCUUCGUGUGAGUUUGCUAACUUGGUCCUGUUCAAGUGGUUAAAUCGGAGGAAAUCCGACGGCAUUUCGUGUUAACUUGGCUUAGGCAUGAGUGUCGCGUGUUAGGCGACUUAACCAUGUUUAAGCAAGCUAAUCCGAAGUGGAUCCGCCACACUUUCCUAGUGUCGUUGACACAGAUAUGAUCAGCGCGUUCCUCUCCGAAACAACGUGCAAGACCCUGGUCUACAAGCUCAGCUGCCUGAAGCCCCAUACCACCCGCGACAUGCUCGACAUCGCCACAAACCACGCCUCCAGCAAGGAGGUGGUCGGGGUGAUCUUCAGCGGUGGUUGGGACAAGGGCAAGGCCAAGUGUGAGGUUCAGGAUGAGGGUCCCUCCGUGCGACAGGACAAGAAGAACAAGAAGGACCGUACACUGUGGUCGAGAUGAUCCGACCAGGCACCUACCGACUGAAGGACGACGAUGGCAACAUCCUCACCAACACAUGGAACAUUGAGUAGUUACGUCAUUUCUUUCCCCAACUCGGUUUUUAACGGUCAUUUCCAUUCAACACUCAGCUCUUAUAGCGCCCUAGCCUGAGCACUCUCAGCCUGGGUCGCUCAAGGGCACCACGGGGUUGCGGUACCAUCCCCUCCUUACUUUCAUGCAAUCACGCACCACGCCCGAACGAAAGGGCGUCCCGUUCCUCUGACUGCCCUAAGUAACUUACGCUUCAGCCUCCUGAUCGAUCAGACCCUGCUACAACUACGGUUACGACCAGCUGAGCCUCGCGGGCCACGCUCGGGUUUUUAAGAUUGCAGCCUACGGUCAACAGGUAGGUUUGAAAGAAAAGAGCGAAAAGCAGAAACUACUUAAGGGAAAAAUGACAACGGGCGGGACCAGCUCCCCUUCACAUUUAAUACGAUCACGAAGAUCUUAAAUUGUUCUUUUGGGGGCUCUCGGUCCCCUGCAAAAUUCAUUAUAAUACAAAGAACCAACUACUUCUAUGGAAUUCUACUAUUGCCCCGAGGUUGUGUCGGCUGGCGGUACGGUUGCCGUGGACGAAGGCGCCUCAGUUGUGGUCGGGACGACAUUCUGCUCCAACUCGAUCCCCACUGCUUCAUCAGGAUUGGCGAUGCCUUCUUGACCCGCGCCUACAGCCCCCGCUGAGCAGCGAGCCUCCAUCACCCACUACGCAGUGGUAUGCUCGGCGACCGCAUGUGUGUGCGGCACCAAGUUCUCCUCCAGCGCCUGGAUCCCAUCCGCGCUCCACCCGUCGGCAUACCCUCUACCUUCCCAGGCAGGGUUGGGGGCCCACCAUCAGAAUCUCCAUCGAGGGGAGGCCAACGGGACACCCGAGCCGGUCGGACGGCUCGGGCAUCUGCCGAGAGACGGACAAAGAGUAGUGGCAUGCCACAUGAAGGCUAUACCGACCCCGUCAUGAACGACGAAUUCGGAUUCCACUCGAGCACGCCUGUUGGGAGCUCCCCGACCCCGUCACUCGAGUCGUCGAGGUAAGCGGUGUCAACUUAACCGCUCCGGUUGCGGAAACCGUGGAUGGGGUGAUGCCUAAAAACCCGACCGAGGAAAUUUUAUCAACCCUCCAUUUCCUUUCCCAUUGCAAGAGCAUUCAUUCAUUCAUUCAUCCAUUCCUUGCAUGCAUUCAUUCAUACAUUCAUCUCAUAUAUUCAAUCAUUGCAUUACAAUUGCUUUGUGUCGCGUCACAAAGCAAUAGCGGUUCAUUCGAAAUGAGCUGCGACCGACUCGGGUUUGAAGGCCGGUCCGUGAAGGGCUUGAGGCCGCCUUGCAUCAAACGGAGGCAGGGGAGAAAAUGCAGAUGAGCCCCAGCGGCCUUCGCCCGACCGACUCAUAAGCGGACAGGGUCGUCUCGACUUUCUCGUUCGAUCCUGACCUCGAGCCAUGCUCACAGGAUCUCCAUCGAGGGGAGGCCAGUGGGCCACCCGAGUCGUUCUCCGGAACAGCUCAGACAUCUAUCGGGAGUCGGGUUAAGGAGCAGUGGAAUACCACAUGAGGGCUAUGCCGACCCCGUUACGAACGAUGGACCCGGAUUCCACUCGGACAUGCCCGUUAGCGAGCUCAUCGAGCGUGUCACUUGAGCCAUCGUGGCAAGUGACGUUAGCUCAACCCCUCCGGUUGCGGAGACCACGGACGGGGUGACGCAUGAAAAACGCGACCGAUUGACCAAGCUUAACGGAGCUUAGGGGCUCAGGCUAUUAGAUCCUGACUCGUGAAUAUGACCGACGACACAAGUCGCGGUUGGAAGAUGCACAGACGGACGCCCCAACCCGCAAUAGGGAUCACCACAUACUAACCGAUGGGGACACACGAGUCCAUGACCCUGGAAAGAUUCAGCCUCUGACCGACUCCCCAGUCGGCCACAGGCUCAGGGGCUAGACAAAUCGGGUCCGCUCGAAUGAACUCGGCAGAAAACGGACUGCCGGCAAGGUUCCCCCCCCCCCCAGGGGCUGGGCACCUAUAUCUACUCGGCGCACCUCCGCAACCUUCGCUAGUCCUCUCCUCAAGGGCUAGGUGGCUAUACCUACUCGGCGCACCUCUGUGGCCUCCGCCAAUCCUCUCCUCAUGGGCUGGGAGCCUGAUCCCCCUCGGCAACCCUACACAGCACUGCAAACAACAGGGGAAAAUGCCAAGAUCUCAAUGACAAUCGGCCUCCAAGGCGCGAUGGGCACAGGAAACAUAUAACGAUGAAAGCCUUCAUUGAGCUAAAAGCACAGCAGCAACCCGCCGGGCAAAAUCCAACAACCCCUUCACAGCUUCAAAAAAGCCCCAAAGGGGCUCGGGGGCUGCUGACAGGUCCAUAGACCCAGGGUCCCUGAUGGGCCCGCUUUCCUAUAAUGCCAGGCCCAACAAGAGGCGUAGCGAUACUACACGCCUGGGCCGGCCCAGCAAUGCAACGCAGGUCGAGACCAAGAUCCAGCCAUCGACCGGCUCCUCCAACCAGGAGGCCUAGUUGGCGCCUCGACCAGAAGGGUCCAGUUGGGGGUGGGACCACAGUCCGACCCCGACCGAGUUCCCUCGACCAGGGAUGCGUCGUACCGACCACACCACUCCCCUUGACCGGCAUGGCCGGGACUGACUAGGACAAUCGACCGGGGACGCCCACUCGGUGUGGGUCCAGGGAGCGGGUGGAACGGAUAAGAAGAAGCGCCUAGGUCAACUACCGUACGAGGAACCGAACUGCACCACGCCCUGCGCAUGCCCCGCACAGUGUUGCCACAACCUACCUGCCACAAUGGAGUGGCCUGAUGAGAUGAACAGGGACCAAGGAUAGCGGCCAUACCGUACUCGAUGACGUAGGUCUCGACACGACUGGACGACACCCACACUCUCUCUAUCUCUCUGGUUUGUAUGACCGUCCCCUUGGACUACAAAAGGGGGCACGCUCUUUCUCUUUGGAGGGAGGACUCUGACUCUCUCAAACAGAUAGUGCACGUUCGAGCCCCCCGUCACUCUUUUCGACUCGGACCAGAGCACGAUUGGGUCUCGGACGCCCCCUUCUCAUCCCUCACUUGUUUGUACCCCCACUGCAAACUUUGAGCACCUGGGCCUGUUGCCCGAACCAGUAUACAUCCUGUGUCAUUGUGUGUUAGGCCACAUCUGAUCUAACACACGGCAAAACUACGAUAUUUACUAGUCGGCUAGAUUUCACACCGACAGGGUGGCACAAGGACUGGUUCCUUGUUGCCAAUCAAAAACCCGAGCUGCCACCUCACGUCAGGUAUGCACCUGUGACAAGGCUGGAAUGGUUGAACCAACCGACCUCUGAGGAGAUGGUCCAGGUCAACCAGCUGCAGAAGGAGAUCACCGACCUGAAAAGACGUGGGCUCAUAGCAGAAGCUGUUAGCAUCAAUUUUCGUAGAAGGUUGACACAGUCGAUCAAGGACAGGGUCCAUCCAGCGUAUGAAUACUCGGGUCCGCUGGAUCUGACCCGAGAAGUACAGCAAAAGGUUUCUCGGGAAGAGGUUGCUGGCCAGGUUUGCGAGUUCUUUGGUGGUGUCAUCAAGAAUAAGAGCUGCCCCAAGGCGUACUCCCUAGUGAUGUCGGCCAAUCCGGUAAGUUCUUGUUUCAGUUGUUGACAGUCCUAGUUUAGGGGUGUUUGGUUCUAGGGACUAAAGUUCACAUCGAAUGUUUAGAUACUAAUUAGGAGUAUUAAAUAUAGGUUAAUUACAAAACCAAUUGCAUAAGUGUGUGGCAGAAUCAUCCAAAUUAACCCAGCUAAAGUGUGCUAAACAUCGCCUCAAAUGCGAACAGACAUUUUAAUCGGAUCAAAAUGGUAGUCUGUCGGGUUUCACCCUAUACAACCAUGUAUUUGCAAUCGAAACACGCAUACAAUACUUGUACGAAGAUGAGCCCAGAGAAUACAACAAUCUAGAUGAAAAUAUUACAGAGGUCCCAGUUUAAUUAUUACAAACCGAGUUCAAAUCAUAAAGAAGUUCAGAGUUCAAAAGCAGCGGAAAAAAACGGUAGGCAAACAACGAUACAUGAUAUCAUGGUGAAGCCAUCCAUGACAUCACUCACCAUGGUCCUCGCCCACCGAGGACGAGUCCCACUCAACCGUCCAUCCUGGAGGGAGCUGCUAUGGCCAAGUCACACUAGCAACCACAUCAUCAAUGUCAUUACCUGAAAAUAUAGGCACAAGCAAGGCUGAGUAUACUAAUACUCUACAAGACAUACCCGUUAGGUGGUAUCUAAUCCACCGACUCCUAGACAUGCAAGGCUUUUUGGCUGAGGGGUUUGUUUUUCCUCAAAGCUUCUAAAGUGGGUCAUUGCUUUCAAGUUUUAGCAUCAAAUUCUAAUUAAUUAACCAAUCUAGGUAAGCACCUAUUCUAAGCAAGCAUGGUAGAACAAGCAAUUUAAUCAAGCCUUAAUAUUAAGCAUCAUCAUUGUUCAUCUUCUUACUCAGUGCAGCAUAGCGAUCAAGCAGUCUCAAUAUCUGCGAGAAAUAGACGAUUCGAAUCGAAUUUCUUAACCUUGCAAGGUGGACCUAAACACAUGACAUGUGCGUACCGCGACGGGUUCACACAUUAUCAACGGUUCCCAUCGAUCCCCAGCGCAGGUCCAGAGCCCACUUCCCUUGGAUACAAGGCCCCGUCGGUCCCGGAACGACGUCGUGCUAUGGCCGUACUUAUACCCACAUGAUGCACCAAGGGAAACCAUUUCUAGAGAGAGUGGGGUAAAGGUUCACGUCCCGGUUCAAUUAGGUACUAGGCUUCCUGAUUACCAUCUUCUCAGUAUGUGUUUAGUACGUUCAAAGACAUGACCACGAACACCGACACGGUUCGACCUUAGCAAUUUCCUCUACACAGACGGGGCAUCAACCAUUUCAGGAACAUCGCACAAAGCCCCGCCCAUCAUCCUUAUGAUUCCAACAUAAGUAAACAGGAAACUCUUAUAGUUGGCGAGUGAUAGGAAAUCACACGACUUUUACCAUGUCCUUAUUUAGCCUAGCAUUAGAAUCAAUUUUAAUACGGAGAUAUAAAAUAAACAAAAUAAACUACCAUUAAGCACAUUAAAUCCAAAAGGCUUGUAAAACAACCAGAAAAGUAUCAACAUCAUUUUUUCUAGAUUUUAUGCGGAAAACAAUGGCUAAUAGAAGUGAUUUCAACAUUUUAUCAAUUUUCCACUAUUUAUCAUGCAAAUAACAAAAUUAAGACAACAAACAAGCAUUAUAUUUAAAACAGCAUGAAAAACAAAGAUUCCACAAACACAAGUUGCAUGUCUGAAACAUAAAUGAUAAAUGGAAGCUAACAUAAUUAGUUUCACCAUUUUGGACCACCAUAUGAUUUAUAAAGCAUUUAUUGACUUUUAGACAAAAUAAAUAAUACAGAAUAGUAACAUGCACUCAAACAUUUUUGAAAUAAACUAGAUAUGAUUAGGAACUCAACAAAAGAAUAUUCACAUAUUUAUCAUUUUUCUACAAUUUUCUAGGUAUUUUCCAAUUUCGCAGCAAUUUAAAUCUAGGAAAUAAAUCAAAACCGAGGUCAACUUGCCAAACAAACCUCAAAUCUAAAGAUUCUCGCAUAUAGGACCCUAAAAUUUCCCAUAACCCCCCUCUCUUUCUUCUUCUUCUCCCACACAGCACACACAUCCACACAUAGAUAGGCACGGGCGGCGCGGCCGGCUCUACCCAACUAACGAGCUUGCAGGCGUGGGAGAGAGGAGGAAGGAACCACUAACAAGUGGGCCCAGCAAAUUUUAAACUGUUCAACUUUCCCGACUCAAACGACCUAGCUACAGGCACCUAAAAAUCUCCCAAAAAUACUCAUUUGAAAGAUAAAGUCACAAAGAACACAAUGCCACAGGAAUCAUUUGAAGAACUUCUCAAGUUUUCACACAAUUGUCAAAAGAAAAUAGCCAAAACUAAAAUUUAAAGGAAUUUUAACACAAGGAAAAAUCAUUGAAAAAUUAAGUAAAAAUAUUAUAAAGUUAUCAAAUUGCAUCUAGUAUUUAAAUAAAAUAAUAGGAGGCACAUUUGCAUAGCAAAAAUUGGAGUUGCUUCACAAGUUUGAAUUUUAACAAUAAACAACAAUUAUAUGAACUUAAACAAUGCAUGGCCAAGAUGCUUAAUUAUUCACAAAUGACGCUCAUGAUACUCAAUUAUGCACAAAUGAAGCUCAUGAUUCUCAAUUAUGCACAAAUGAUGCUCGUGAUGCGCGGCGUGCAAAGGUGCCAUCUUCAACGCGAAUUUUCUCACAAAUUUGAACUACGCGUUUGAAUUUCCAAAAAUAAAAGUUGGAGUUCAAAGUAUAUGCUAUAACUUUUAUAAAAGCCGACAUAUGAAAAACUUGAUGGAUUUGGAGAUAAACUUGGGAGAAGUUUGGUGGAACGUCGGCCAAAACUGGAUUUGAAAAUAAUUUGAUUUUCAGCCAAAUUUCUACUCAAUUUUUGAACACAUUCCACUCAAAAUCAAGAAAAGUGCAAAUUAUGAAAGUUGCUCUAUUUGAAAAGAUCUAUCCUUUUUAUAUUGGCCAAAAUUUGAGUUCUUAUAUAAAAUUUGUUUUUAUUUGCUUCCCAAGUGCAACACUACAAAGGUGUUUAAUCUCAAUUUCUCUUGAUUUAAUCUCAAUUUCUCUUGAUUUGGCUCCUAAUUACUUGGGAUGUCACAAAAUGAAGGCUAAUUUGCGAGAUGAAUCUAUUAAAUCUAUUCAGUCCAUGAUUUGACCAUGUGGUGUUACAGUAAAUAUGUGCUAAUCAUGGAUUAAUUAGGCUUAAUAGAUUCGUCUCACGAAUUAGCCACAGCUUAUACAAUUAUUUUUAUAAUUAGUUCACGCUUAGUCCUUCUAGUUGGUAUCCAAACAUUCGAUAUGACCCAAACUAAAAAUUAGUCCAUGGAUCCAAACACCCCCUUAGUUUGUGUUGCGCUUACCCGACCUGAUCCUGUUGAUUGAGCAGAGCCGCGAGUCUUAAUUCCUCUAUCCAACACCACUCCUUGGAAGCACUGAGCAACAACGGCCCAAGCUCCGUCCAUCCGCCGAGGCUGACCAACCGCCUGCUGCCCUUGACUAGGAGUCGGACUCCUCCUUUGAUGGCUCCUGUUGGAUGGCGGAUGCGCCAGACCAUGCAGAAGGUGAUAGAGUCCAAGGCGUCGGAGGCGGAGAAGAAGAAGCAGAACAAGAAGGUGGCCGCAAGGACCGAGGCCCCGACUACAGCAUUUGCCUCCGCGAUUAAGGCCUCGUCUAGGCUGGUGAGCGACGACUCCGACUCUUCUAGCCCUGCCGUGAAAAAGAAGAAGGCUGGGCUCCUUAAGACAAUAGCCGCCGACAUGGAAAAGGUCAUGGAGCGAUGGAAGACGGAAAUCCGCAGAGGAAAGCAGAAGGAGCCGACCCUACCACCGACAGUGCCUCUCCGCCCAAAGUUUCGAGUGAAGAAGAGCAUGAUGUGAGUGUCUUCAAAAUGUCGUUUGUUGUUGAAAGCUUGUUUGUAUGCUGCAUUGCUUUAUCUUUGUGUCCUGCCAUCUGAGCAGGAAGGCUGUGAUGGAGGACGAGCCAAACCCGCAGGAUGCUGGCAUUGAGACCCAUGCAGAGGGUCGGACAUCUGAUGCACCCUAGGGGUUGCAUUAGCAUUUGCUACUUAGGCCAGCGGUGAAAGUGGCCUAGUGAUGGAGCUUGAGAGGCCCAAGCAGCAGUCACACCUACUCCAAGACGUUGCUGAAGAUGCUGUAGUUGCCGUGCCCGGUGACACGGAUGCCAACGUUGAGGUCCAGAUGGAGGAAGACCCUAGGGAGGCACCAACGAAGAAGACGAUCCUUCCACACUGGACUUCUUCGGGAUGGUUCUGGCGUAGGAGGCUGCUGAGGAUAGGAGAGACCUUGCCGAGCUGAAGCACGCUUUCGGCAAGGUCGCGGAGUUGUUAUAUGUAAGUUAGCCAACCUGAUUUGAUGUUGAUCAUUGUUUCGGGUUUCCUUCUCUGAUUAGUUGGGAUUAUUCUUGCCCGGAACCUGGCCGAGCACGCGCACAAUAGGGGGAUGCCAUCUAUUGCGCCGAGGAGUAUCGACUCAAGGCUGAGCUAAGGAAGGCCAAGGAGGAAUGCCGCAAAGCAGAUAUGACAAAAAGAUCAGGAGAUUGCGGACCAAAAAUAGAUAACCAAGGAUGUCCAGAGCGACCUCGACACCAUGUUGAAUGGUAACGGCUUCGAUCCUUGUUAUGAGUCCAGAUCCUCUAGAUGCAACUAGUGCCUAUUCUUGAAUCUUAUUGCUUUGCAGAUGCCCAGAAGAAAGAAGAGAGCCUUAAGAGAGACCUCAAAGAGUGCAAAGCAGCCAGCUCCCAACUCCAGCAAGAUCAUGUUAUUGCCGUGCACCGUGAGUAUGACGUGUCACAAAAUCUUGCCUAUGAAGCCGACUUGUUACUAUUAGUUGUUUGAUUCCGAGGAAGAUCUCGAGACGAAGACCGUGUAGCAAUGCUUCAUACUCGGCUUCGUUGUUUGAGACUUCCCAAAAGAUUUGAAGUACGUAUUUGAGUUGGUCUCCUUUUGGAGAAAUUAAGAGUACUCCUGCGCCAGCUCCUUCGAGCUUGAGGGAACCAUCGAAGUACAUAACCCAGUGCUCUGGCCUCUCGACUGGUGUUGGUACUUGGUUUUCUGUCCAUUCAGCCAUGAAGUCGACCAAAGCCUGAGAUUUGAUAGCUAUUCUUGGUUUAAAGAGCUCCAAGCUCUACUGCCCAUUUGGAAAUUCUACCCGUGGCAUCUCUGUUGUGAAGGAUUUUGCCGAGCGGGAAGUCGGUGAUGAUUGAAAUGCUGUGUUCUUGAAAAUAAUAUCGCAGGUUCCGUGAGGUGAGCAGAAUUGCGUAGAACAACUUUUGGAUUGGCGGGUACCGAGUUUUGGAGUCUGAUAGUACUUCGCUGAUGAAGUAAACGGGUCUCUGAACUUUGUAAACGUGGCCUGGUUCAGACCGUUCAACUACUACUGCAGUGCUGAUGACGUGAGUAGUAGCCGCUAUGUAUAGGAGCAAGUCCUCAUUUGGGCAUGGAGCGGUGAGGAUUGGUGGUUUUGACAGAAAGUCUUUGAGUUGUGUCAAUGCUUUGUCUGCCUCUUCUGUCCAUUUAAACUUGUCCUGUCUUUUGAGAAGCUUGAAGAAGGGUAGUCCUCGUUCUCCAAGUCUCAAGAUGAAUCGAUUAAGGGCUGCCAUGCAGCCUGUGAUUUUCUGCACAUCCUUGAUGCUAGCUGGUGCUUACAUAUUUAUGAUGGCAGAUAUUUUCUCUAGGUUGGCCUCAAUGCCGUGAUGGCUAAUGAUGAACCCGAGUAGUUUGCCGGAAGGUACGCCAAGAACGCAUUUGGUAGGGUUAAGUUUCCAGCGGAAAGCUCAUAGGUUUAAGAAGGUUUCCUCCAAAUAGAUGAUUAGGUCCUCCUGUUUUCUUGUUUUGACGACUACGUCGUCCACGUAAGCUUCUAUGUUGCAGUGCAAUUAUUUCUCGAAGCACAUCUAUAUAGCGCGCUGGUAUGUUGCACCCGUGUUUUUUAAUCCAAAUGACAUUGUUUCGUAGCAAAAAGCCCCAAAUGGAGUGAUGAAGGCUGUUUUGGCUUGAUCUUCUUCUUUGAGGCUUAUCUGGUGGUAACCUGAGUAACAGUCAAGAAAGCAUAGUAAAUCGCACCUGGCAGUAGAGUCGACUACCUGGUCGAUCCUGGGUAGUCCAAAAGGGUCCUUUGGACAAUGUUUGUUGAGAUCCGUGUAAUCGACGCACAUUCUCCAUUCAUUGUUUUUCUUGCGAAUGAGUACAGGGUUGGCUAGCCAAUCAGGGUGAAAAACUUCUUUGAUGAACCCUGCUGCGAGUAGUUUGGCUAGCUCUUUUUUUAUUGCUUCUCAUUUGUCUUGGGCGAACCUUCGAAGGUGCUGUCAUUUUGGGGUAGCUCUAGGAUCAACAUUUAGAGAAUGCUCAAUCAGUUCCUUGGGCACACCAGGCAUGUCGGCUGGCUUCCAGGCAAAGAUAUUGUGGUUAGCCCGAAGAAAACUUAUGAGCGCGGUUUCCUAUUUAGGAUCUAGUCUUGUCCCAAUUAGAGCUGUCUUAGAAGGGUCACCAUUCUGGAGAUCAACCAUUUUGAAGUUUGUCUCAUUUGUUGGCUUUACUUUUGCUGGCCCCGACUUGUUUUCUGGGAUUUCAAGUUCUAUUGGAUAAAGUUUCUUUGAAACUAAAAAAACUUGUUGCAUAGGGCUAGGUCCUUAAGAAGUUGCUGCAAUUUCCACGGCUUCGGUGUCGCAUUCAUAAGAUCACCUUAGGUCUCCUCGUAGUGUUAAUUCUCCCUUGGGUCCUGGCAUCUUGAGUACCAAGUAAACAUAAUGUGGUACAGCCAUGAAUUUAGCCAAAGUUGGUCUCCCGAGUAUGGCAUGGUAAGAGGUCUCGAAGUCGACGACUUCAAAUCUGAUGUACUCGGUUUGGUAAUGUUCCUUGGUGCCGAAAGUUACUGGUAGGAUGACUUGUCCUAGCGGUAUGACUGCGUUUCCUGCUACAAUCCCGUAAAAGGGGGAGUCUAUUGGAGUGAGCAUGUCUGUGAUGUCAAGACACAUCUUUCUUAGUGUUUUGGCAAAAAUGACGUUGAGUCUGCUUCCGCCAUCAAUAAGUACUUUUGUUAGUCUUGAUCCUGCAACAACAAGGUCGAGUACUAGGGGAAAUCGGCCUGGUUCUGAGAAGUUUGUCCAUUGGUCCCUUCUGCUGAAGGUUAUGGGUACCGGAGACUAUUUUAGCGUUGUUGGAUCUGUUGAUUUGAUGGCCAUAAUCUCUCUGAGUACCAAUUUGCUAGAUCGCUUGGAUGCGGAACCUGGGAUUCUGCCAAAAAUUGCGUUGACUAUUUUGGAGGCGGUCUGGAAGUCUCCUUCUCCUUCUUCAUCCUUAUGGAUUUUGUUUUUGCCCUUAUCCUUUUUCUGGUUGUACUCUUCGGGAGGUGGUGGUGCAGGUAAAUCUUGCAUUACUCGGCGCAUGUUAUAGCAGUCUAUUGCUGAGUGUUUGCUAUUUGGGUGCCAUGGGCAUUAUUUUUUGAGUAGUUCGGUGAAGCUUGGUCCAUCAUCGUGUUUGUGGGAUCCCUUCUUUCCUGAGUUGGUCAUGGAAGCAACGGUGUUGUUAGGUUUGCGUUUGCAAUUUUGGUUACUCGAAUAGUUCUUUCGAGUAUCAUUGUUUCGGCCAAAUCGCUUGCAUUCUUUAUCUUCUUCAUCUGCCCAUUGUUGCACGAUGAUUUUGAGGUCUUUGACGGUGACUGGUCAUCGUCUGCCAAAAUCCUGGUAUGUUCGACGAUCAUAGAGGCCAUUUUAAAAGCUCUCGAUAACGUCUAUUUCUGAAAUGUCGACUAUAGUGGCCUUCUUUUCAAAGAAUCGCCAUAGGUAGUCGCGCAGUGUUUCGCCUUCCUUUUGUUUUACUUGACUUAGGUUGAUCUUGUUGCCUGGUCUAGUCAUGGAGCCCAUGUAGUUGUUGGUGAAGGCUUUUGUCAGAUCUUCCCAAGAGUCAAUUGUUUUAGGUUUGAGUGAUUCAAGCCAUGUUAGGCGCGUGGGUUCCAUGCAUAUGGGAAAAUGGAUGACUUUUGUGUCAUUAUUGCCUCCGGCUGCUUGGACUACCAACGAGUAGCAUCGGAGCCAUUGAAUUGGGUCUUGCUUGCCAUCAUACUUGGUGAUUCCUGUUGGCUUGAAUUUUUCGGGUAGUCUUGUUCUCAUUACCCGUGUUGUGAAGGCGUGAAAAUGGUUGUAGUUGUCGAUUUCACGUUCGCGGUGACUAUUGAUUAUUUCCCAUAGAUCGCUGAAAUUUGAUACUUCAUGAUUUUUCCUGAUAUGGCGAGGACUUUUUGCGGCAUUAGUGCAGCUGGCCUCUCCAACAUCCUUUGUCGUACUGGGGCUUCGCAUUUGCUCAGUCCUUGGCUAUGUUGCCUUGGUUGGUUGACCACCUCGUUGUUGUUUCGUUGUGCUUCGUGGAAGCCAUUGUUGACUGCGGCACCCCUACUGCCCUCUCGAUGGGCUGAGUUGCGAGGAACAUAUGGGAUUGGUGAUUCUUUAUCGAGUAGCUUGUAAGCUUGUUCUGCGAGUUGUGCAAUUAGUCCAUUGCCUCGCUGCGCAAGUUGAGCUGUUAUUUCGUUAUCUCUGUCUUGAGGUAUGAGAAUUAAUAUAAGGUUGAUUGAGGCAAUUGCUGGGAGUGGGGUGUUGUGCUCUUGAGCUUAUACUGCGUCAAAUGCUCUUUCAAGGUUUGUGAUGGGAAUGUUUGUGGCUAGCAACUGUCGACGUUUAGCUCGAGUAAUGUUUCGUAUCCUUCUUUGGUUUCAUUGAUCGGAAGUUUCGUCCUGCGAAGCGUUAGCCGAUGACUCAUCCUCUGAAACGUUAUAGAGCUGCGCUAUCCGUCAAGGGGUUCUCUGUUGGCUAGUGCCCACAUUAUUAUUUUGAGUGAUGACAAAGAAUUCUCUAUCUCGGUAGUAGCUUCUGGAGCUUGAUGUUGCAAUUUCUGUAGUGCUCUCCUCGCGGCUUGAAGUGAGCAGGAUGCCUUCUUCGUACGGGAGGUUGUCUAUGUGAGCGACAAGGCACGACUCGUAGUCGCGGGUAAGGAGAGAUGGCCUCAUUCUUGGCCAGUGAACGAAUCUGCCCUGCGGCGUUGAAGUUACUACCAAACCUUAGGCUGGCCCUGAUAAUGGAAUUUCUUGGACGUAGUCCGAGUUGGAGUCACAGUCCUUGUCUUCCCCGUGUUCGAGUUGAGUUCGAGUGAGGAGACAUUGGUAGACUUCGGCUGUAUUGCGGAGUCCGUAUGGGAAUCGUUUUUGAGUUGAAGUUGACUUGUGAAGUGACUGGGGCUUCGGCUUGUGUCGACUAAUCCGAGCUGGGGUCGAGUCCGAAGCGUAGUCGAACUCGGUGUCGCUGACUUUGAAAAUUUGGCUUUUCUUGAAAAAAUCCCCCGUUUUUUGCUGAGGAAAGCUUCCGUCGAGAGGUUUCUUCUCCUGGAUGUGAAACGAUCCAGCGCCGUCGGCGAUGCAGAGCCAAGAUCCGAAAACAAAAGUUGCGCCUGCCUCGAAGGUGAAAACAGGCUUGAUAAUGACAGAUGCCAUCAAACUCGCGCGGAGAAACUCGGCGACUGCCCCUACCUAGCACGCCAGCUGUCGGUGUUUUAGACCAGCAACCCACCUAGGGGGUACCCUAGGUGGUCUUUUGUGCGGUGGGUGUAUUCGAGAAUCAAGGAGUCAAUGGUGACGCAAGGAACACGAUUUAGACAGGUUCGGGCCGCUAGAUGGCGUAAUACCCUACGUCCUGUGUGUUAAUUGUAUUGAACUUAGAUGAGUUGUCUUUGAGGGGGUCGUUGCCCGCCCUUAUAUGAUCGGGGGAGCAGGGUUACAGGCUAGAAUCCUAGUCGGAUACAGUUAUAGAAUUCCACUCGGUGUAUACAGAGUAGUUUCCAUAUGUAUGUUGACUAGUCUUUGGGAGUCCGAGUGGGCUAUGUUCCUUUGCCGCGUAGCCCCCGAGCCUUGAUUACGUCCGAGUAUGCCCCUUAGUGGGCCGCACAGGGCCUACUCGUGGGCCUGGGAUGUAUGCCCGACAGUUACCCAUGCUACUGGUCCUCGUAACGCUGGCUCACGGUCCGAGUCCGCGCCUAUUGCCGCACGCUCGCGGACACCACCCUCGGUGUUGCUAAAGGAAGAUACACUUGCGCUCUUUAGCUGCACCAUCUGCCAUCGCAGUCGGCUCAUCGUCCUGCUAAACUUGUUGGCAAGAAGCUGCUGAUUUGUAUAUUCAGGCGCCUUUGCUGACGCUUCGGACCCGUGUCCUCCUCCACGGCUUCGAUCAUGUCCACCUCGACCUCGGCUACUUUGGCACUAAGGGGCUACCAUCUGCUUGACAAGCCUCUUCGGCUCCCAUUCCAGCCACAACAUCUACGGCGCAUCGACGGUUGCGACUGCGGGGGGAUGUCAUCUCUUUGGCUUAUUCUUCAGUCUCAUCGUCUGCGCGUUUCCAUUGUGACUGCGGGGCAAUGUUAGAGUAUAUUAGGCAACUCCGGAUAUGGUUAGUUUAGGAUUGAUUGUAAUCCCAUGAUAACCUUCCUUAUCUCUAGGAGAUGCUACAUGCCCUCCAAGCCAUGUACUCCUAUAUAAUCAGCCCAAGGAGCUCAAGCAAUACAUCCCACGCAUUAUACACGAUCUUACAUGUAUUGAAAUUGGUAUUGUAGAGUAAUUAGCACAAUAAUAAUAUAAGGGUGAUAUGCAUAUGUGCUUAAGUGUUACUGAAAUGCUCGCGGUAGGGUGUUUGGAUGUGCUUGUAGUAGCAUACUAUUUGGAUAUAUUCAUGGUAGAGAGAAUGUUUGGAUGUGCUUGUAGUAGCAUAUCAUUUAGAUAUACUCAUGGUAGCGUACAUGAUUUUGAGAUGGAUACUAGAAAUAGCAAAGCCACGCCUUUUGGGGAUUGGGCUUUGGAAGAACUUUUGCUUGCCUUGUCAAAAAUUCAUAAUUCAAACUUUGAUAAACCUGAAUGACCUAGCUAGAGAAAUGGAACGCUUCUGGUUCGUGUGCCUGAAAAAAGAAAACAUAUCCUCCUGCGUUGCAAGAUUAUAACAUCGAGACCGUGGACUUGAUCUGAAUUUUUCAUGCUAUGUAGAUGGUUAUUCACUUAGAUGUAUUGUAAAAUAGCAUGUUUUUGGCAUAUUCAGACAUAUGAGCACUGUGUAUUGUAAGAAUCCAAGGGAAACAGAUUUACACACCAAUUGAUGUGCAUUAAAUAGACGUAGAAGCCAGCUUUUCUUCUGUUGCCAUAUUUUUUUUUGUUUUGAUAAAAGACUUCAUUCAAGCUUAAAAGCAAUGUACAUGGAGAAAGGUCAGAUGACCCCAAGUUACAGAUUGGAUCGCUGCAAGAACAGCACACAUUCAGUGAAGAUUGGUACACACAGAAUCUAAGUGGCCAAUCAGAAGAAAGACUUCUAGCUGAAACUGCUAAUUGAUGAGCUGCCUCAUUCUGAACUCUAGAGAUUUUAGAGCAACUCCAAGAGUUUCUCUAAAUUUUUUUCCUCAAAAUUAUGUAUUGGGAGCUUUUCUAAUUUUUUUCCCUAAAAUCAUGUUAUCCCACCGCAGAUCUCCAACAAUAACCUUCCUAAUAUUUCAAAACAGGCCACGUCAGCACGAUUGGGCCCAUCAGGGCUGGCCUCACCUUCCACCUCACGAUCUGUUUCUCCUGUCGCCCCUUCUAGCGCCGCCACCACUCAUCCACCCUUCCAUCCCUGCAAAUUUGCUGCUGCGUUCUACAAUCAUAAUUGGAGAUAGGUAAAAUGGAUUCGUUAUGAGUCGAUAAAGCUUUUCCAUUAAACGGGUGCUGAAUUUAUCAUCAGAUAAUGAUGAUAAUGACGGAUUCUUCUUCUCCGUUGUGGGAAAGGAGUACAUGGGGGAGCGAUUGGGGAAGAGCGGAGUCACGGAAAUUUGCGGGGCGUCGGAGGAGUUAUUCGCGUCGCUGAAUUUUUGCGGGGAGCACAGGGGAGCUAUUGGAGGCUCAAUUUUAAUGUUUUUCUCCCUAAUUAAGGUCUUGGGAAUAAUAAAAGGGAGCUUUUUGGAGUUGCUCUUGAUCACUUGCAAAGCAUCCAGUAAGGCAAGUUCCUGAAAAUGAGAGAUCCAUGGACGAAGUUUCAAUGGAGAAUCUAAAGGCGACUUGUGCAGAUGUGUGAUUGCCUUGUUCUUCUGUUGCCAUAUUGGUCUUGGUCACACACUGAACCACCAACGUUGCUGGGAAGAUGAUAUCUAUUCACGGGGGAAUGCAAAUGAGGGGAAAAAAAAAGAGGGUCAACGAUAUUAAAAUCUCGACCGGUGAGGGAAAGACUGCCUCCAUACGGUUACAUAAGAAGGACUUAACCGUAGCCCAUCCGACAAAGGUCACGAAAGCUGACCCCCCUCAUACAUGGAGAUGCCACCCCCUGUGGUUUGGGCCUUUACCCGUGCUUUGAGGCCCAACCUACGACCAUCCCCUUACACGUGGCUCGCCCACCACUACUAGAAAAAAGACCUUUCUUCCACUCCCUUAGUACCGAUCACAUUUUGACCCGGUACUAAUGUUAGCAUUAGUAUCGGGUCUAAAUUUAGGACCCCCGAAGGUCUUUUAGUACCAGGUCGUAACACCACCCGGUACUAAAGUGGUACUAAAAGGUAUAAAACUUUUGGUACCGGGUCAUAACACCGCCCGGUACUAAAGGAGCACUUUUAGUACCGGGUGGUGUUAUGACCCGGUACUAAAGACUCUCCACGGGUUACUUCAAAAGGAAAAUAUAUCUACCUCCAUCACAUACGCUACGUAGGUGGGAUGGCAAGGAAGGCUCGCACGAGGCUUGAUGUCGUUGGUUCGAAUCCCAUAGACCGCGCACGACGCGACUAAAGGGAUCCAUUUACCCUUUAGUACCGAUUAUUUGACCCGUUACUAAAGGUCACCUUUAGUACCAACAUAGCAACGAAAGGUCCCCUUUAGUACCAACAUAGCAAUACCUGUUGUACAACCGGUACUAAAAGGUCCCCUUUAGUACCAACAUAGCAAUACCGAUUGUACAACCGGUACUAAAGGUGGGUUUGGAACCGGUACUGAAAGCGGAAUCCCCAGUAGUGCACCACAGGUCGGUUCACCCAUGCCGACCAGGGGAACCAGCGAGUGACUUUUUUAAUCCAGCCUCAUUUAAUUCGCUUCCACUGGGAGUCGAACUUAGAUCUACUGGGUGCUACUCAAGCACUCUAACCACUGACCUAGAGGCAAGGGAUCAAAGACAAUACAAUACUUAUUUUUCCGCUUAUAUGUGCCUCUCGCCAUUGUUCAUAUUUGAGCUUUUUUAACAUAACUGCAUGACAUGUGGUUAACAGGUAUCAAUAUCGAAUCCAAUUCCUUCAGAGUACCUUACAAACCUUUGCUUAGAUAAUUUCUUAUAUACACUCAUGGUAAUUGUCCUUUUUAAGGUAAGCUUCACUUUCUUAAGUUUUCUGACUACUAAUCUAGCAGCACGAUCAGAAUUGCUCAAGCAGGCAAGCAGUAGCCCAGUAGGAGCGCACGACGCAACAAAGAAGACUUACCUCAGUGAGGCCUAGAUUGAAGGGGGCGGACGGACGGACGGAGAUCCUACACAUCUUCCCGGAAGGUAGGAAGCCCACUCAUCUUCCAAAUUUUGAGAUUCAUGCAUAGGUUGUGGACCGUGCGAUCCGCUUCUUCCUUCCUCCUCCACGCGUCUUCUCUCCGCUCCUGAGCGUGCCACCGCCAUCAUGCACGCCAGGGCUGCCGCCAUG
Molecule: long non-coding RNA, 36556 nt
Filed under: Setaria viridis
Lineage: Eukaryota; Viridiplantae; Streptophyta; Magnoliopsida; Poales; Poaceae
Description: long non-coding RNA (SVIR_LNC003962)
Source: RNAcentral